UACGUAGUGUGCAAGCGUUAUCCGGAAUUAUUGGGCGUAAAGAGCUCGUAGGCGGUUUGUCGCGUCUGCUGUGAAAACUGGAGGCUCAACCUCCAGCCUGCAGUGGGUACGGGCAGACUAGAGUGCGGUAGGGGAGAUUGGAAUUCCUGGUGUAGCGGUGAAAUGCGCAGAUAUCAGGAGGAACACCGGUGGCGAAGGCAGGUUCUUGGACAGAAGGUGACGCUGAGGCGCGAAAGUGUGGGGAGCAAACCGG
This 253-nucleotide ribosomal RNA is filed under the name uncultured bacterium. Its description in RNAcentral is "partial 16S ribosomal RNA". It matches the Rfam family "Bacterial small subunit ribosomal RNA", at positions 524 to 776 of the family's 1533-position model. The record is from RNAcentral.